GAACUUCAAAGAUCUAAAAUGGAUUUGCUUGGCCCACCCUUGGAACGGAGCUGAUUUUAAAAAGAUGCGUUUGGAGAGUCUAGGAUGGCCACAGAUGCUUCACGUCGUCUCCUGAGGAUGCAGCCUGGGGAUCUGGGAUCUCCACUUCUACAGUCAAGGCCACCAUAACACCCUGGCAGCUCCCUCACCAUCCAGAAAACAAGUUUUGUUUUUUUUUCUUUUCUUUUGAAAGCAUUCACUUUACUAAUGAUAACACAAGAAGUGAGAAUCCAAGAACAAAAGUCAUAUUCACAAAUGGAAUGCGCUGUGUGGAAGACAGGAAGCUCAGGUAACUUGGCAGGAUCCACAGACGGGGCCUUGCCCAUCCAGGCCUCUCCUCCUCUUUCAAUUCCGAUUCUGCUGCUCUGGAAGUGUCCAUUUCAGACGACUUUGCAACAAGAGUGAAGUUUCAAAGCCGUUUUCUGGUUAGCCUUCAAUUAACCAGAAAAUCAGAUUAAUUGUGCAUGAAUUCCUGUGUCCAGGACCGGUGUGACCCAUGGAACAGACCGAUCUGGGUAAAAGUCAGUCAUGUUGAAGCCGAGGUCUCUCACAUUUGGGGCUCCUCAGGAACAAGGGGGCCAUUCAAUCAAUCCACCUGACAUGCUGUCGCAGGCCUGUGCCUUCUGCAGGCUCUGAGCUCAAAACCAUUCUGAAAGAGGCUGUCGAUGGAGGAGAGGGA
This 718-nucleotide long non-coding RNA is filed under the name Marmota monax (woodchuck). The record is from RNAcentral. Lineage: Eukaryota; Metazoa; Chordata; Mammalia; Rodentia; Sciuridae.